This 1397-nucleotide ribosomal RNA is filed under the name metagenome. Its description in RNAcentral is "bacterial LSU rRNA". It matches the Rfam family "Bacterial large subunit ribosomal RNA", at positions 1538 to 2925 of the family's 2925-position model. The record is from RNAcentral.
AAAAUCCGGGGGAAUUAGAUGAGGCGUGAUAACGAGGAGGCUUGCCUCUGAAGUGAGUGAUACCCUGCUUCCAGGAAAAGCCACUAAGCUCCAGCUACAUACGACCGUACCGCAAACCGACACUGGUGCGCGAGAUGAGUAUUCUAAGGCGCUUGAGAGAACUCUGGAGAAGGAACUCGGCAAAUUGACACCGUAACUUCGGAAGAAGGUGUGCCUUUAGUAGGUGAUCCAUUUACUUGGUUAGCACAAUGAGGCCGCAGAGAAUCGGUGGCUGCAACUGUUUAUUAAAAACACAGCACUCUGCAAAGACGAAAGUCGACGUAUAGGGUGUGACGCCUGCCCGGUGCUGGAAGAUUAAAUGAUGGGGUGCAAGCUCUUGACUGAAGUCCCAGUAAACGGCGGCCGUAACAAUAACGGUCCUAAGGUAGCGAAAUUCCUUGUCGGGUAAGUUCCGACCUGCACGAAUGGCGUAAUGAUGGCCACACUGUCUCCUCCAGAGACUCAGCGAAGUUGAAAUGUUUGUGAUGAUGCAAUCUCCCCGCGGAAAGACGGAAAGACCCCAUGAACCUUUACUGUAGCUUUACAUUGGACUUUGAACAGAUCUGUGUAGGAUAGGUGGGAGGCUUUGAAGCGGUGCCGCUAGGUGUCGUGGAGCCAACGUUGAAAUACCACCCUGGUGUAUUUGAGGUUCUAACCUUGGCCCGUUAUCCGGGUUGGGGACAGUGUAUGGUGGGCAGUUUGACUGGGGCGGUCUCCUCCCAAAGCGUAACGGAGGAGUUCGAAGGUACGCUAGCCACGGUCGGAAAUCGUGGUGAUAGUGCAUUGGCAUAAGCGUGCUUGACUGCGAGACUGACAAGUCGAGCAGGUACGAAAGUAGGACAAAGUGAUCCGGUGGUUCUGUAUGGAAGGGCCAUCGCUCAACGGAUAAAAGGUACUCUGGGGAUAACAGGCUGAUACCGCCCAAGAGUUCAUAUCGACGGCGGUGUUUGGCACCUCGAUGUCGGCUCAUCUCAUCCUGGGGCUGUAGCCGGUCCCAAGGGUAUGGCUGUUCGCCAUUUAAAGAGGUACGUGAGCUGGGUUUAAAACGUCGUGAGACAGUUUGGUCCCUAUCUUCCGUGGGCGCUGCAAGAUUGAGAGAGCCUGCUCCUAGUACGAGAGGACCGGAGUGGACGCACCUCUGGUGUAUCGGUUGUCACGCCAGUGGCAUUGCCGAGUAGCUAAGUGCGGAAGAGAUAACCGCUGAAAGCAUCUAAGCGGGAAACUCGUCUCAAGAUGAGUCUUGCCGGGGCCUUGAGCCCCCUGAAGGGUCGUUCGAGACCAGGACGUUGAUAGGCUGGGUGUGGAAGCGCAGUAAUGCGUUAAGCUAACCAGUACUAAUUGCCCGUGAGGCUUGACCA